RNAcentral lists this ribosomal RNA (813 nucleotides) under Triticum aestivum (bread wheat). RNAcentral describes it as "partial small subunit ribosomal RNA". The record is from RNAcentral. Lineage: Eukaryota; Viridiplantae; Streptophyta; Magnoliopsida; Poales; Poaceae.
CUUGGCCUCGCCGCGAUCGAGCGAGCGCGCAAGCGUCAAGCCUCUCGGCUGACUUGGCUCAAGAUGGGCGACGCGGGAACCAAAAUUUUCCAUGCAAAGUUCCAUUCAUGCCGAAGGAAGAACUACAUUCACAGCCUGCUGACGAACGACGGGAUCGCCACAUCACACAAAGACAAGGAAGCAGCCAUUUUCGAAAACUUCAACUCCAUCCUCGGCUCCAAAGGGGCUCGACCAACAACCAUCAACUGGAGCCAACUUCAGCUGCCCACAAUCAGAGGAGGUGGCCUAGAUAACCCUUUCACAGAGGAUGAGGUUUGGGAAGCGAUCAAGAGCUCGCCGGCGGAAAAGGCUCCGGGACCGGACGACUUCAUUCGAGUCCUCUUCCGUAGCUGCUGGCAAAUCAUCAAGCACGACAUCAUGAGGGCUUUAUACCAGUUCUAUUGUAUAGCCGGCGACGAUCUUGCCACACUCAACUCCGCCCUGGUGGUUCUGAUCCCAAAGAAGGAUGGCGCAACAACAGUUUCAAAUUUCAGGCCCAUUGGUCUAGUCCACUCUAUAGCUAAGCUGAUCACCAAGGUCCUCUCCAUGCGCCUCUCCAACGUCAUCGACUCCAUCAUCUCGCCGGCACAAUCUGCCUUCCUGGCAAAGAAGAGCACGCACGACAAUUUUCUCUAUGUCCAAAGUGCAGUUAGAGCGCUACACAUGAAGAAGACAUCGACACUGCUUAUCAAACUAGACAUCGCAAAAGCAUUUGAUAAUGUCUCCUGGGAAUACUUACUUGAACUUCUCCAAGCCCUAGGCUUCUCAGCUUGA